UCAUUAAGUAGGAAGAGCAAAGGAAAGCUCCCAGAGAAGGGGACAGCUAAGGAAGGACUCACAGACAAACAGGUGGUGAGAGCACUAGGCCAGGUGGCCAUAUAUCCAGAAAGGCACUCCAGGCAGAGAGAAAGCUAGAGCCAAAACUCCAGAGGCAUAUGACUAAGAAAAACCUUUGCUUUGCUUCAUUCAAUCACAACUGACGUCCGACUGAAGAGACCCUUGGAGUACAGCAACAAACUAAAACACUCCAAAUUUCACUCACAAGUUCGCCACUCACAAGGAAAUUCCAGACUGCAAAUGGACAAUCUGCAUAUCAAAUUGGGUUUUGUAUCUCUGAAUUAAGAAGGUCUUAUGUUUCCAAAAUCACGUCAAUUCCCAAAGUUGAUAAAGCAAACGUAGCUAGUAUGUCUGCCUCUAGAUGACUCGAUUUGGAGACUAAAGCUCACACAAACAACUCCCAGAGGUAGGACAAUAAGAAAAGAAGAAAAGGAGAUUUCUAGACCUCAGGGAAGUUAUAACUAAGUGAGCAUGGUACCUGCUCACUUUAUGAAACCCCAUAAAGACUGCAGGAAGACUCAGCUAAGUCAGGAAGCACAGGUUGACCAGACACAUCAGUAUAGAAAACUCUACGUAAGAUUUUAUAAGGAAGGAAAAAACCAACACUCUAUAAUCUAAUUAAAC
Homo sapiens (human) is the source of this 684-nucleotide long non-coding RNA. The record is from Ensembl. Lineage: Eukaryota; Metazoa; Chordata; Mammalia; Primates; Hominidae.